GGGUACUCGAGUGGCGAACGGGUGAGUAACACGUGGGUGAUCUGCCUUGCACUCUGGGAUAAGCUUGGGAAACUGGGUCUAAUACCGGAUAUGAACUGCCUUUAGUGUGGUGGUUGGAAAGUUUUUUCGGUGCAAGAUGAGCUCGCGGCCUAUCAGCUUGUUGGUGGGGUAAUGGCCUACCAAGGCGUCGACGGGUAGCCGGCCUGAGAGGGUGUACGGCCACAUUGGGACUGAGAUACGGCCCAGACUCC
This 251-nucleotide ribosomal RNA is filed under the name uncultured Corynebacterium sp. RNAcentral's name for it is "partial 16S ribosomal RNA". It matches the Rfam family "Bacterial small subunit ribosomal RNA", at positions 85 to 339 of the family's 1533-position model. Lineage: Bacteria; Bacillati; Actinomycetota; Actinomycetes; Mycobacteriales; Corynebacteriaceae. The record is from RNAcentral.